CGAAAUGCGAUAAGUAAUGUGAAUUGCAGAAUUCAGUGAAUCAUCGAAUCUUUGAACGCACAUUGCGCCCCCUGGCAUUCCGGGGGGCAUGCCUGUUCGAGCGUCAUUACACCACUCAAGCCUAGCUUGGUAUUGAGCGCCGCACCCCCUUGCGCGCUCCAAUGUCUCCGGCCGAGCCGUCCGCCUCGAAGCGUUGUGCACACAGCUCGCUUGCGGGGCCAGGACCGGCAUUCGUCGCCGACGGAACCUUUCUUUCUACAGGUUGACCUCGGAUCAGGUAGGGAUACCCGCUGAACUUAAGC
This 302-nucleotide unclassified non-coding RNA is filed under the name plant metagenome. Its description in RNAcentral is "partial contains 5.8S ribosomal RNA, internal transcribed spacer 2, and large subunit ribosomal RNA". The stretch from base 1 to 106 matches the Rfam family "5.8S ribosomal RNA", at positions 49 to 154 of the family's 154-position model. The record is from RNAcentral.